This 253-nucleotide ribosomal RNA is filed under the name uncultured bacterium. RNAcentral describes it as "partial 16S ribosomal RNA". It matches the Rfam family "Bacterial small subunit ribosomal RNA", at positions 524 to 776 of the family's 1533-position model. The record is from RNAcentral.
UACGUAGGGACCAAGCGUUGUUCGGAUUUACUGGGCGUAAAGGGCGUGUAGGCGGCGCGGUAAGUCACUUGUGAAAUCUCUGAGCUUAACUCAGAACGGCCAAGUGAUACUGCAGUGCUAGAGUGUGGAAGGGGCAAUCGGAAUUCUUGGUGUAGCGGUGAAAUGCGUAGAUAUCAAGAGGAACACCUGAGGUGAAGACGGGUUGCUGGGCCAACACUGACGCUGAGGCGCGAAAGCCAGGGGAGCAAACGGG